RNAcentral lists this ribosomal RNA (1817 nucleotides) under uncultured Entamoeba. RNAcentral describes it as "partial 18S ribosomal RNA". It matches the Rfam family "Eukaryotic small subunit ribosomal RNA". The record is from RNAcentral. Lineage: Eukaryota; Evosea; Mastigamoebida; Endamoebidae.
UGUUAAAGACUAAGCCAUGCAUGUGUAAGUAUAAAGUCCAGGAAGGAUGAAACUGCGGACGGCUCAUUACAACAGUUAUAGUUACUUUGGUUAAUGCGAAAAGGAUAACUCUGUUAAUUGUAGAGCUAAUACUUGCGACAAUCCGCCCAGCGGUAACUGCCUCGGCAGUUUCAAUUGCCCCCUACUGAACGAAGGGGCGAGGACAAUUGUAGGAGCCCGCGGCUCUAACAAGUAACCAAUGUGAAUUUCUGACCUAUCAACUUGUUGGUAGGGUAGUGGCCUACCAAGGUAGUAACGGGUAACGAGAAAUAAGGGUUUGAAAUCGGAGAGGGAGCAUUAAAGACGGCUACCACUUCCAAGGAAGGCAGCAGGCGCGAAAAUUACCCACUUGAGGAUCUCAGAGGUAGUGACGACAAAUACCCAACGCGGGCCACUGGUUCGCACUUGGGGAUGAGGCGGAGACAAAGCUUCCGCCGAACGCGAUUGGAGGGCAAGUCUGGUGCCAGCAGCCGCGGUAAUUCCAGCUCCAAUAGUGUAUAUUAAAGUUGUUGUGAUUAAAAAGCUCGUAGUUGAAGCCUACCGAGGGUGAUAUUUCGGGAGCCUGUGGAUCACCGGCACCUGGAGUAUUAGAUCCUCCCCAUGCAGCUGUGUGAACCUUUCGGGGCCACAUAGCUCUCAGUACUUUGACCAAAAGUGCGUGCUCAGAGCAAAGCUUAGGCUAAUGGAACUUGAAGCAUGGGAUACUGCGAGGGGACUUAAAGCGAAUCAGCGGGCGACUGUUGAGGAGGGUUAAGUUUCGAGAGGAAGGUUAAGAGGAAGGGAUGGGGCCAUUCGUACGGGGUGAUUAGGGGUAAAAUCUCAUGACCCACCCAGGACGGACGACGGCGAAAGCAUUUGGCUCAGACCUGUCCAUUAAUCAAGAACGACAGUUAGGGGAUCGAAGACGAUUAGAUACCGUCGUAGUCCUAACCAUAAACGAUGUCAACCGAGGAUUGGAUUGAACUUUAGUCAGGCGUAAUCCCCGGAUUGCGCCCGACGAUAUACUUCUGUCCGGGACUCGAAGGGAAACCUCGAGUGAAUGGACUUCAGGGGGAGUAUGGUCGCAAGAGUGAAACUUAAAGGAAUUGACGGAAGGGCACACCAGGAGUGGAGCCUGCGGCUUAAUUUGACUCAACACGGGACAACUUACCAAGACCAAACAUUAAGAGGAGUGACAGACUAAGGGAUUUUUCAUGAUUUGAUGGGGAGUGGUGCAUGGCCGUUCUUAGUUGGUGGAGUGAUUUGUCAGGUUAAUUCCGAUAACGAACGAGACUUUGAUCUUUAAUUAGGUGUGCGAGCAACCGUUUGCACAGCGCAAGCCCAGUGGCCUACUUAAAGAGACAUGCCCCAAUUGUCCGUUAGCCCAGCCCCUCGGGGUAAUGGAGCUGGCGGAAGAAGGGGUAGGAAGCGGAGCAAUAACAGGUCUGUGAUGCCCUUAGACAUCUUGGGCUGCACGCGUGCUACAAUAGGCGCCCUAGCGAGUACACUAGUUUCUGCAUAACCAUUACGGUGUCUUACGGGAUGCCAUGGUGGCACUAGCAAAGACGACCGACUCCGAGAGGACGAGGGAAACUCGAAAGGCGUCUGUAACAGGGAUUAACGCUUGGAAUUAUCCGUUAUGAACGAGGAAUUCCUUGUAAAAUUGCGUCACUAUCGCAAGUUGAAUACGUCCCUGCCCUUUGUACACACCGCCCGUCGCUCCUACCGAUUGAGCGGAUAGAUGAAGGUCUAGGAGGAACCAAUCGGGCCGAAUGGAUCUAAAUCUCUUCGCUUAGAGG